CGAACGCUGGCGGCGUGCUUAACACAUGCAGGUCGAACGGCAAGGCCCUGCUUUUGUGGGGUGCUCGAGUGGCGAACGGGUGAGUAACACGUGAGUAACCUGCCCUUGACUUUGGGAUAACUUCAGGAAACUGGGGCUAAUACCGGAUAGGAGCUCCUGCUGCAUGGUGGGGGUUGGAAAGUUUCGGCGGUUGGGGAUGGACUCGCGGCUUAUCAGCUUGUUGGUGGGGUAGUGGCUUACCAAGGCUUUGACGGGUAGCCGGCCUGAGAGGGUGACCGGCCACAUUGGGACUGAGAUACGGCCCAGACUCCUACGGGAGGCAGCAGUGGGGAAUAUUGCACAAUGGGCGGAAGCCUGAUGCAGCAACGCCGCGUGCGGGAUGACGGCCUUCGGGUUGUAAACCGCUUUCGCCUGUGACGAAGCGUGAGUGACGGUAAUGGGUAAAGAAGCACCGGCUAACUACGUG
Molecule: ribosomal RNA, 466 nt
Filed under: uncultured bacterium
Lineage: Bacteria
Description: partial 16S ribosomal RNA
Rfam family: Bacterial small subunit ribosomal RNA
Source: RNAcentral